CAGCGCCACGAGUGGUAACCACGUUUAUUGGGCCUAAAGCGUCCGUGGCCGGUUUGAUAAAUCUUUUGUGAAAUUGUACAGCUUAACUGUACAGCGUGCAAGAGACACUGUCAAACUUGAGACCGGGAGGAGUCAGAAGUAUUCCAGAGGGAGCGGUAAAAUGUUAUAAUCUCUGGAGGACUACCUGUGGCGAAGGCGUCUGACCAGAACGGAUCUGACGGUGAGGGACGAAAGCUAGGGGAGCGAACCGGAUUAGAUACCCGAGUAGUCC
RNAcentral lists this ribosomal RNA (271 nucleotides) under uncultured archaeon. RNAcentral describes it as "partial 16S ribosomal RNA". It matches the Rfam family "Archaeal small subunit ribosomal RNA", at positions 477 to 747 of the family's 1478-position model. The record is from RNAcentral.